AACUGUAACAGGUGAACAGGUGAACACAAACAUGAGGGAGGGUUGGAGUCUCUAAGAUUGAGAGGUCUGAGUUAGCCAAUGAAGACAUCUGAGAUCCUAUCCAAGAUUUCUGUGGUCAGAAAAAGCUGUAAAUGGCAAUAGAGUUUUGGUACCAGAGGCUAGAGUGGACAAAUGAGGGCCAGGGAGGAACCGGAAAAUGG
Molecule: long non-coding RNA, 200 nt
Filed under: Homo sapiens (human)
Lineage: Eukaryota; Metazoa; Chordata; Mammalia; Primates; Hominidae
Description: LHRI_LNC1308.1
Source: RNAcentral